UACGGAGGGGGCAAGCGUUAUUCGGAUUUAUUGGGCGUAAAGGGCGCGUAGGCGGCCCGGCAAGUCUGAUGUGAAAUCUCCACAGCUCACCUGGGAGAGGCCAUUGGAAACUGCCGGGCUUGAGGUCCGGAGAGGCCGGCGGGAUUCCCGGUGUAGCGGUGGAAUGCGUAGAGAUCGGGAAGAACACCAGUGGCGAAGGCGGCCGGCUGGACGGCACCUGACGAUGAGGCGCGAAAGUGCGGGGAGCAAACGGG
This 254-nucleotide ribosomal RNA is filed under the name uncultured bacterium. RNAcentral describes it as "partial 16S ribosomal RNA". It matches the Rfam family "Bacterial small subunit ribosomal RNA", at positions 524 to 776 of the family's 1533-position model. The record is from RNAcentral.